This 253-nucleotide ribosomal RNA is filed under the name uncultured Acinetobacter sp. Its description in RNAcentral is "partial 16S ribosomal RNA". It matches the Rfam family "Bacterial small subunit ribosomal RNA", at positions 524 to 776 of the family's 1533-position model. The record is from RNAcentral. Lineage: Bacteria; Pseudomonadati; Pseudomonadota; Gammaproteobacteria; Moraxellales; Moraxellaceae.
UACAGAGGGUGCGAGCGUUAAUCGGAUUUACUGGGCGUAAAGCGUGCGUAGGCGGCUAAUUAAGUCGGAUGUGAAAUCCCCGAGCUCAACUUGGGAAUUGCAUUCGAUACUGGUUAGCUAGAGUAUGGGAGAGGAUGGUAGAAUUCCAGGUGUAGCGGUGAAAUGCGUAGAGAUCUGGAGGAAUACCGAUGGCGAAGGCAGCCAUCUGGCCUAAUACUGACGCUGAGGUACGAAAGCGUAGGGAGCAAAUAGG